GGGAACAGAGGACGGCUGCUGAUUCUUUUCCAACAUCAGAAUCUUGUCAUUGAGGUCCGCAAACCGUGUCUCCCAUGGGUCCUUGUUUUCAGCCACUAUCUCUUGUGUGGCUUCCACUUCAGGGGUUCUUCUUCCCAUCCUCCUUUCUAUCUCAUGACGGAGAUCCGUCGGUGGUAGAAUUGAGGUGACUGAGACGUUCGUUGGAACUCUAGUCAUUGUGUUCUGAGUCGGAACUCAGUCUUGGGUCGCAGGAGGGUUUUGGAUCGAGGCUGGAACUUGAGCGGAUUGAUGUUGGGACCCCUCAGGUCUCAUACUCCGUGGUGCGGACUGGACUUCGACCACUGGUCCGACUGUUUCCUGGACAGGAUGCGGUUGUUGCUGCUGCUCCUGUCGCUGUUUCAUCUGGUUGAUUUCGUCCCGCAGAGCUUGUAUCUCGCUUUACAUAGCUCGAUACUUGCUUGCGCGAUUACAGGAGCACUGAGAUGGCCCUGGAGCAAAUUCAACAUGAAGUAAGGAGGAAGAUAGUCUACUCAUUCGGUUCAGGUUCCACGGCUGCAAAUUUCUUCUUUCCUCUUGCCAUUGUACUUGAGAAUAGAGAACUGACUUUUCGUAUCAGCUUCCACAGACGAUGCCAAAAAUGUUGAUGACUAAAUCCGGAUGACUCUCCGCUCAGAUCGCUAAACCCCGAGCCGCUUCAACGUCUUGAACCUACACAACCACGGUGAGCAAAGGAGACCAUGGUCUAGACAGCGGACCCUCCGAUGCCCAAGUCAGGUCAAGGGAAUCUGGGUCUAAGUUCGUUUGUAGAGAGAGUGUGUGAGAUAUUGCGUACCCGUUUCCUCAUUGUGAGAUGUUAUUUAUACUCCUCACCUGGAGAGGGCGUGUCUACAUAACUCGGCGCGUUUUGGGGCACUCACCACAUUCCGCGGGAAACUCGGUUGUACAACCGUCGUGUGGUCAUGCGGACGUGGGUGGCAUGCAGACGUGGGUGGUGGAAUAACCGUCUCUAGUUGUGCAAUAGUAGAACGGUAGAUUCCGGUCUGAGCGGUCUAAGCUUCACACCGACUGCCUCGGCCUCAGAUUACUCCGAACCGACAACCUCGGAGUAAAAGCGUAACUAGGGUCGAGCCGGGAUUCUUUCCCUUUGGUUAUUCUCGCAAUUCUAGACUUACUCUGGUGUUUCCGGUCGGAUCUGAAUGGUGUUGGACCUCGGAAUAGAGAGGACUCGGAUCUUCCCAUAACAGUAUUAUUUUUCCAUUGGUUUUCUGUUGGUUUCACGUUGUAUCAAAAUUCCAAUAAAAAGAAUUCAUAUUUGUUAAGAAAAUAUGAUUUCUUACACCCAGAUCCAUAGCUCAACUGGCAGACUGAGUGGAGAUACCUCGUUUCAACACUUGAGGUCUUGGUAUCGAUCCCUAGCGGGGUGGCUAACAUGGAGUGUGUGUACUGACAUGGGUGUGUACUAACAAGCUAACCCAAAAAAAAAAAAAAAAAAAGAAAGAAAAGAAAAGAAAAAGAAAAUAUGAUUUCUUGUUAAUGAGGACAGUAUCUAAUUUGAGAAACUGUAUCAAGAAUAGACCUUGCUUGGAUGUGGAAUCUAUUGUACUAGUCGAGCUUGUAUAGGCCUUAGCUUUGCCCAUUGACAAUACUGCACAUGCAUGAAAAUUCUGACCACUAAUUAAACCACUCAUACCUUAAACAUUGCAUGAUUUUAUUAUUGUUCAGGGCCAUCAAGAUUUUGGUGAGUUCUUUGAUCUUCCUCUGCCCGAGGCUUACUUGUGGAUGGUCAUCCCACAUUUCUUUCAUUCGUUUCGAGAAAUAGGUUUUCUUUGGACUCAAUUGACUAGUAUGACCCAACUGGGAGACCACAAAUUCAUUUCAGUAGUCUUUGGACCACUAGACCUGGUUUAUUUUUGCUAUAAAUCAUACGAUCCAACGAAGGUGGAACUUCGCAGGCAGGCAGCUGCUUCCUAUUUCAAUUGCAUGUUCAAGGGAUCUCCAGAAACAGCUGGAGAAGGUUUACUGUUGCAGACUCAUAUCCUACCUACUUUAAAUUUGUCAAGCAUGCUUGAAUCUGAGUGUUCUGUUGUUGGACUUCAGGAAAGAUUGGUGUUCUACCUAUCUGAUCCAUUCAACCGCAGGCAAACGAUGUGUGGUACUCUAGAUUUUCUUCCACCCGAGAUGGUGGAAAGUGUAGAGCAUGACUCUGGAGUAGACAUUUAGAGCUUGGGAGUCUUGUGCUAUGAAUUUCUGUAUGGGGUGCCACUAUUCGAAGCAAAGGAACACUCAGAUACAUAUAGAAGGUGUAGUCUGGAUUUCAGUUUUGUCCUUAAUUUGGUUGGAUUCUUUGAAGUAAAUGAAAUGGAUCCGGAGAAAAAAAUUGUGAAAAGUAAUGAUGCGUGGUUUUCAGUAAAUGAACCAGAUUGCUUUAAGCUGUUGCAUUUGGAUGCAUUACUGUACUGAAUAGUGAUAACCAGUUAAAAAUAAAGUGGACAGACUAAAUUGUAAAUAUUUUAGAAAUAUAUGAAAACUACAUUCCUAAAAAAUACAUGAAAAUUGUGUGGAUUGAUGAAAAAACUCUGGUUAAUAAGUUUUCCUUUCUUUCCUUCUUUGCUAUUUUCAGUUUCUAUUUUUUUUCAUUGUUUUAUUGCAUUUUUAAUUCUAUUUAUUUAAAUAAAAUAAUAUUUAUUUGUGUACAAAAGUGUCCCCGUGCCAAGAUUUUUGGAGUGUGCUUUGCUGGACACUUCAGUUAAUCUCUUCUGCGUCCAAAAGAUUAAAUAGUCUCUCACCAUACCACUUUUGAUGAAGACACCCUUUAUGAGUCCUUGACUUUGGCUAGCGAUUAAGGUUGUCUUUCUAUUUUCCAUUGCUCUUGCUUUCCUUACUCUAGAUUCCAAACAUAAUAGCUCCUCAUUGCAUGUCUCUCUGCAACAUGUUCUCCAAUUGGCUUUCUCCAUUAUCUCUUCCUGUGACACUUCAGCCACUUCUAUCAGCAAGGUAGACAUGUUUGGCUCACUUUUUUCUUUUUUCUUUUUUCCCUGAAAGGUGGCUCAAAGACUACUGGUUAUAUCACUUCCCAAUAUCCUGUUACUUUUUAUUCAAAGGUUUAUGAACAACCAGUGAAGCAGAUUCCUCCUCUUGUUGAUCUUCUCAUUCUGUAAAAGAUGCAAUCUUGUAGUUAGGUCAUUCAUUUUGCUAUUUCUGUAAUUGACAAAAUUAUUGAUACCACAACAUAUAAUGUUGCUUAAAAUUAUCCUUGUUGGUGAUUGAAGCAUGAUAACUCUCUAUUGAAAUCAAACUUUGGACAUUAUGUCUCAAUCAAUAAACAAGCCAUGACUGAAGCAUGAUAACCCUCUAUUGAGCUUGUUCUUUUUUGUCAAAUAUCACUAUUUAUGUUUUAUGGAUUAUUAUGGCAAGAAGAUUUAAUUUUCCAUUUUAUUUUUCUUUGAAUGGUUGGAUCUUAGAACUGUACAAUGAAUCUAUAUAUUUCCAUUAACCUUUGAAAGAAGUCUAUCUACUGGGCUUUGGCACAUUUAUCUUUUGCAGACUUAUCCAAAUCCUUUGCAAGAUAAUGCAGCAUAUUCAGUUGUUAAGUUAAUUUAGCUUUCUACUCAAGCUGAUUUCCUUUGCUCUCUCUCUUUU
Magnolia sinica is the source of this 3639-nucleotide long non-coding RNA. RefSeq lists it as uncharacterized. The transcript is spliced from 2 exons. NCBI's taxonomy places the organism in Eukaryota, Viridiplantae, Streptophyta, Magnoliopsida, Magnoliales, Magnoliaceae. The record is from RefSeq and is a predicted model, not a curated record.